Molecule: ribosomal RNA, 269 nt
Filed under: uncultured bacterium
Lineage: Bacteria
Description: partial 16S ribosomal RNA
Rfam family: Bacterial small subunit ribosomal RNA
Source: RNAcentral
UACGAAGGGGCGAAGCGUUGUUCGGAAUUACUGGGCGUAAAGGGCGCGUAGGCGGUCUAUCAAGUCAGGCGUGAAAUUCCCGGGCUCAACCUGGGGUCUGCGCUUGAUACUGAUGGACUUGAAUGCGGGAGAGGAUAGUGGAAUUCCUAGUGUAGAGGUGAAAUUCGUAGAUAUUGGGAAGAACACCAGUGGCGAAGGCGGCUAUCUGGCCCGUGAUUGACGCUGAGGCGCGAAAGCGUGGGGAGCAAACAGGAUUAGAAACCCCCUGU